RNAcentral lists this small RNA (679 nucleotides) under Pan troglodytes (chimpanzee). RNAcentral describes it as "processed transcript". Lineage: Eukaryota; Metazoa; Chordata; Mammalia; Primates; Hominidae. The record is from RNAcentral.
GGUUUCCUGAAGCAGCUGGAAGUCCUGGAUAGUUCCCACCUGAAAGUCUGUUUGCAAAGGCAAUGCGCACUCAGGCACCAGAGGGCAGAGGGGCUCAAGUUCCAGGGUUUUAAGGUGCUUGGAACUCCCAGGAGCCUGGCAAACCUUCAUCCAGAACCUCUUCCUCAAGCAAGACAAAAAGCUGCUAAGCACUGCUCCCUCCGUCUCUGUGAAGAGACCAGCUUCUAACAGACAGUGCUGGGCUGACCCCCCAUCAUGCCAGGCUGGCUCACCCUCCCCACACUCUGCCGCUUCCUUCUUUGGGCCUUCACCAUCUUCCACAAAGCCCAAGGAGACCCAGGUAAGACCCCAGCCCAGGCCAGAAUCUGGGGGAGGCUUGGGGAGACUGCAAGGGUGGGGAAAGGGGAAAGGGCAGUUGUUGCAGGUACCCAGGGACUGAAAGUCAUUGCUGAGAAGGCAAUGGAGGAGAGGGUUGGGGGGCUCUGGAGAAAGCAUUUGGGGAGCAGGGUCUGAUGGGCACUUGGGGCAGUGAGGAUUGGGGGUUCCUGCCACUGUGGCCCCCUCUGCCCAGCAUCCCACCCGGGCCCCCACUACCUCCUGCCCCCCAUCCACGAGGUCAUUCACUCUCAUCGUGGGGCCACGGCCACGCUGCCCUGCGUCCUGGGCACCACGCCUCCCA